UCAGUCUGCAGGAUGGCUGCAUUUUCUGGGGGGCGAGGGUCAUCGUGCCUCCCCCUGGCCAUUCACAGAUUGUGGAGGAAACUCUUGAGAAUCACUCAGGAGUGUCUCGAAUGAAAAGCUAUGCAAGAUCCUACGUUUGGUGGCCAAGAAUGGAUCAGGAUCUGGAGAUCAAGUUUUUACAUUUGGAGAAUGUUGGAUCUUAAAGCGGGAGAAGUGUUGUAAUGUGAGCAUUAUUAAAACCAUGCAGACAUGAUGGACCGAAGGGCCUAUAUCUGCUCCUAUACCUUAUGGUCUUUCUUUGAUUAUCAUUGGUGAGCCCAGCAGCAGGCGAGGGGCAUGGCCUCGGUUGUUGCACGGACUGGGCCUUCACGCUGCAGAAUCACCUGUGGCAGCCACGCAGGGAGGGAG
Long non-coding RNA from Mobula hypostoma (lesser devil ray), 408 nucleotides. RefSeq lists it as uncharacterized. NCBI's taxonomy places the organism in Eukaryota, Metazoa, Chordata, Chondrichthyes, Myliobatiformes, Myliobatidae. The record is from RefSeq and is a predicted model, not a curated record. The transcript has 3 exons.